CUGUGGUCUGAUACACAGUGUUCCGACAGCAUCCCUAAUAGACAGACAUGGCGGGUACCGGGAUAACAGUGGCGCUGAUCGCAGUGUUGAUUCAGAUUAUCUACGCCUCCAAACUGAUGAACGUCGAUAGUCACCAACUUGCCGACAAGGAAGGUCAGGCAUCUAAGCUCAAUUUUGUAGAGGCGAUGAGUAAAGUCCUAAAGGCUAGGGAUACCAAGGAGAAGAAUCUCAGACAAGCGAAAGAAAAAACCCUGAAAAGAAACAGCGUUCCCUAUGAGUACCUUGGCGGUUGUUACGAUAACAAUGAAAAUUGCGAGUAUUGGGCGUCCACCGGCGAGUGUAACAGCAACCCGGCGUACAUGCAUAGUACAUGCCAGUAUUCAUGCGGAACGUGCUGUUCCGACAGUAACGACCAAUGCGGAUACUGGGCUUCCACUGGGGAGUGUUACAUAAACCCGGAUUAUAUGGAUAUCAACUGUGCGAUGUCCUGCGGUUAUUGUUAUGGAGGUAUUCACUACAAACGUGACGUCACUAAGAACUUCGGUAACAGCCCACCCGGCACCAGAGAUGACUCGCGCGAACAACUCAGGACUGAUGAUAAAAUGAAACGGGCGUACGAGCUCGGGAAAUUUAUCAAGAGAGCUCUAACAUGGCCACAUUCACAAGGAAACAAUGGGUCACCUGGCACACAUGAAACUGGAUAAAAAUAGAUCAAUAUAGAAAGGACGAGUAACGAUCCACAUGUUGACGGGAGCACCAAACAUUUAUAUGUGUGUACCUUUCUUGGAGGUGUAUGGUAAAAACGUUAAAGUUAGAGAACAAAAGGAACACAAGCAGAGAAGCGACACGAGCACGGAACUAACCUUUGUAGAAAAAAUGCAUUUAUAUGUUAUUUUACUUUAAUAAUUAAAAGAAUUCAUCUUUAUCUA
Molecule: unclassified non-coding RNA, 929 nt
Filed under: Mizuhopecten yessoensis (Yesso scallop)
Lineage: Eukaryota; Metazoa; Mollusca; Bivalvia; Pectinida; Pectinidae
Description: uncharacterized LOC110455816, transcript variant X1
Source: RNAcentral